AGUGAACGCUGGCGGUAGGCCUAACACAUGCAAGUCGAACGGCAGCACAGGAGAGCUUGCUCUCUGGGUGGCGAGUGGCGGACGGGUGAGGAAUACAUCGGAAUCUACUCUGUCGUGGGGGAUAACGUAGGGAAACUUACGCUAAUACCGCAUACGACCUACGGGUGAAAGCAGGGGAUCUUCGGACCUUGCGCGAUUGAAUGAGCCGAUGUCGGAUUAGCUAGUUGGCGGGGUAAAGGCCCACCAAGGCGACGAUCCGUAGCUGGUCUGAGAGGAUGGUCAGCCACACUGGAACUGAGACACGGUCCAGACUCCUAGGGGAGGCAGCAGUGGGGAAUAUUGGACAAUGGGCGCAAGCCUGAUCCAGCCAUACCGCGUGGGUGAAGAAGGCCUUCGGGUUGUAAAGCCCUUUUGUUGGGAAAGAAAUCCAGCUGGCUAAUACCCGGUUGGGAUGACGGUACCCAAAGAAUAAGCACCGGCUAACUUCGUGCCAGCAGCCGCAGUAA
Molecule: ribosomal RNA, 506 nt
Filed under: uncultured bacterium
Lineage: Bacteria
Description: partial 16S ribosomal RNA
Rfam family: Bacterial small subunit ribosomal RNA
Source: RNAcentral